UGGGGAAUAUUGGACAAUGGGGGCAACCCUGAUCCAGCCAUGCCGCGUGAGUGAUGAAGGCCCUAGGGUUGUAAAGCUCUUUCGCCUGGGAAGAUAAUGACGGUACCAGGAGAAGAAGCCCCGGCUAACUUCGUGCCAGCAGCCGCGGUAAUACGAAGGGGGCUAGCGUUGUUCGGAAUUACUGGGCGUAAAGCGCACGUAGGCGGAUCAUUAAGUCGGGGGUGAAAGCCCGGGGCUCAACCUCGGAAUAGCCUUCGAUACUGGUGGUCUUGAGUCCGAGAGAGGUGAGUGGAACUCCGAGUGUAGAGGUGAAAUUCGUAGAUAUUCGGAAGAACACCAGUGGCGAAGGCGGCUCACUGGCUCGGUACUGACGCUGAGGUGCGAAAGCGUGGGGAGCAAACA
This 402-nucleotide ribosomal RNA is filed under the name uncultured bacterium. RNAcentral's name for it is "bacterial SSU rRNA". It matches the Rfam family "Bacterial small subunit ribosomal RNA", at positions 355 to 774 of the family's 1533-position model. The record is from RNAcentral.